Molecule: unclassified non-coding RNA, 2949 nt
Filed under: Hevea brasiliensis (rubber tree)
Lineage: Eukaryota; Viridiplantae; Streptophyta; Magnoliopsida; Malpighiales; Euphorbiaceae
Source: RNAcentral
GGUGUGAAGUGAACAUAAGAAAUGCAACGAAAUUCUUUAUCAACGUAAGAAAUGCGAGUGCAGCAUUUGUACGAACAAUUUAAAGUGUCCCAACAACCAACAAACUUUCCCCCCUUCUACACUCUAAGCAAUAAACAUACACAGAUAGCAGCAAAGAGAUUAAUCAUGAGACAUUGUAUGCGCAAAAUUCAAUUGCCUCUGCUUUACCAGUGCAGCAAUGUGAAACGUUAUUAUAAGUACUAAUCUGAUAUUGGUGUUACACUAUGCAACAGAACUUUGGCUUGAAAACUAAAUGGUGCUAUCAAAUGUCCAGUUGAUCAACGUUGAUCAUGCGGGAAGAAUUCUGGAUAAGUUCCUUGCGGACAUCCACCCGAGCACCCAUAAGGGAUGAAAAAACAACAUUGGCUUCAGCUGCAUCCUCAACUACUAAUUGCCUGAGCAGCCUUCUCUCCGGAUCCAAGGUUGUUUCCCACAGUUGUAAAGGCAUCAUUUCUCCCAAGCCUUUGAACCUUUGAAUAUUAUAAGAUGCAUUUUGCGGAAAUGAGUCCUGAAGAUUUUUAAGUUCUGCAUCAUCAUAACAAUAGUAUACUUGUUUUCCCCUCUCAACCUUAUAAAGAGGGGGAACACCAACAUAAAUGCAACCCUCUUCGAAUAAUGCUCUCUGAUAUCUGAAGAAAAAAGUUAGUAGAAGUGUUCGGAUGUGAGCACCAUCCACGUCGGCAUCUGUUAGGAUAAUGAUCUUAUGAUAACGUAGAGCAUCCUUCUUAAAAUCCUCUCCCUUUACUCCAAGUCCAAGGCCAAGUAUAAGAUUUUGAAUCUCCUCAUUUUUGUACAUCGCCGCCUCAUCUUUUCUUUCUAUAUUUAAAAUUUUACCCCUCAGGGGAAGAAUAGCCUGAAAGCGCCUAUCACGGCCUUGUUUGGCACUUCCACCAGCUGAAUCUCCUUCAACUAUAAAAAUUUCAGAUUCUUCAGGAUUUGUAGAUGAGCAAUCAGCCAGUUUUCCUGGAAGAGAUGAUGUUCUCAGCACACUCUUUUGUCUCACCAAUUCCCUUGCCUUCUUUGCUGCCAAAGCUGCCUGCAUAGGAAAACAACAGAAACAAAUAAAGGUUCAUGGUUAACACAAUUAGGCAUCCUAAAUGCCAGAAUUAAAGGAACAGAUUGAUUAACAAGUUUAAUACAGAUGAAGCAACUAAGAAAAUGGGGGAAAAAAUUAGGAGAAGGAUACCUUAAGAGCAUUUAGAGAUUUUGAAAGGAUUGAAUCAAGAACAUCUGGAUGCAAUUCCAAAUAUUCAGUAAGAUACUCUUGCACAGAUUGGUCCACCACUUUCCUUACCUCUGGAUUUCCUAACCUUGUCUUUCAGUGAUGGACAAAGAACCAGAAACGUAUACUAUUAAUAAUGAAGAAGAAUGCAACAAAACCAACAUUGAGAUGGCCAAAGCAUCAGUACUGAGUACUCAGAAAAUCAUGAUAAACAGGCAGUACCUUUGUUUGUCCUUCAAACUCUGGACUUGGAACUUUAACUGAUAUAAUGCAUGUUAAGCCCUCUCUCACAUGUUCACCACUUAAAUUAAUAUCCUUAUCCUUUAUUAUCUUUGACUUCUUCCCAAGAUUAUUAAGAGUUCUGGUUAAUGAAGCCUUGAAACCAUCUAUAUGUGUGCCACCAUCAAUAGUGCGUAUGCUAUUGGCAUACCCCAGUAUUGUAUCAGAGUAUGCAUCAGAACACCAUUGAAGAGCCAUAUCAAUUGUGAUCCCAUCUAUUUCUUUACUGAAACCCACAACAUCAUGAAGUGCUUUCUUAUCAGUAUUUAGCCACUUCACGUACUCUACCAACCCUCCAGCAUAGAAAUAUUCAUCAUAUUGGUUCUCCUCUAGAUCAUUACCUUCUUUUUUCAGCGUGAGAGCAAGCUUUGGGUUUAAAAAAGCAAGCUCCCUAACUCUUCCGCCUAUAGUGUUGUAGUCAAACUGAAUUGCGGUAGUGAAUACUUCAUUGUCAGGCCAAAAUCUGACACAUGUCCCUUGGCGAUCCCUUGAUUCAAUGGGCAGUGAAUAACAUGUUAGGAUUGUCACAGGAUUACCACGUGAAUAUCUCUGUUUGUAUUCCAUUCCAUCACGCCAAACAGUAACUUCUAAUCCCUCAGACAAGGCAUUAACAACAGACAAGCCCACACCAUGUAAUCCACCAGAGACACUAUAGCCACUGUUAGAACCACCAAAUUUUCCACCAGCAUGUAAGACCGUUAGCACAGUCUCCAAGGCAGAUUUCUUUGUCACUGGAUGCAAGUCAGUGGGAAUCCCGCGCCCAUUGUCAGUGAUGCUAACAGAAUUAUCAGAAUGUAAAACAACAUCAAUCUUUGAAGCAUAUCCCGCUUGGGCCUCGUCAACAGCAUUAUCCAAUAUUUCAUAAACCAAAUGGUGCAACCCACGAGGUCCAGUACUGCCAAUGUACAUCCCUGGCCUUUUCCUAACAGGUUCUAAGCCUUUCAGCACCUGAAUUUGAUCAGAACCAUAAGCCUUCGAACUAGCACUUUCUUGAAAGGACUCUGUUGCAGUACUGGAUGACAUGAAAGCCCUAGGUGAAACUGCAUUUUGAACUGAAAAUCGACUUGGAACCCUACUCAAUGGAAAGCUCACCCUGGGCUUUAAAGCAGGAAGGGGGCGUGAGAGAGAAGAAAGAGAAGAGGAAAUGUGACUGUGAAAAGAAGAAGAGGAAGAAGAAGAAGGAAUUGGGUAUCUAAAGCCAACAUACGAGAGUAGCAUCUGAGCCGUGGAAGGCGUACCUCUGAGGAUCUGAAGAACCAACUGCAACAAAAACCCUAACAAAUUCACUAGCCCUCUCCAUACCUGCAGCGACCUUGACACGCACACUUCCCCUUGCUGCCCUACAAGCGCCAUACCCAAUUCAAUUUCCUAUCACAUGAAGCGAACGCUGUACAGUGAUCAACCUGGGG